CGAUGAAGGUGUGUUGAAGAAGCAUUGCUGGAGGUAUCAGAAGUGCGAAUGCUUGAACGUGAGUAACGACAAAACGGGUGAAAAAACCCGUUCGCCGGAAAGACCAAGGGUUCCAGUACCAACGUUAAUCGGGGCUGGGGUGUAGUCGACCCCCUAAGGCGAGGUCCGAAAGGCGUAGUCGAUGGGAAAAUGGUUAAUAUUCCAUUACUUCUGUGUAAUGCGAUGAGAGGACGGAGAAGGCUAAAUCAGCCUGGCGUUGGUUGUCCAGGUGAAAGGAUGUAGGCAUGUAUCUUAGGCAAAUCCGGGGUACUCUAUGCUGAGAUCUGAUAGCAAGCUGUACUUGUACAGCGAAGUGGUUGAUGCCAUGCUUCCAGGAAAAGUCUCUAAGCUUCAGUUACACAGGAAUCGUACCCGAAACCGACACAGGUGGUCAGGUCGAGUAGACCAAGGCGCUUGAGAGAACUCUGCUGAAGGAACUAGGCAAAAUGGUACCGUAACUUCGGGAGAAGGUACGCUGUUGUUGGUGAUGGAACUCGCUUCCUGAGCUGACGACAGCCGCAGAAACCAGGCCGCUGCAACUGUUUAUUAAAAACAUAGCACUCUGCAAACACGAAAGUGGACGUAUAGGGUGUGAUGCCUGCCCGGUGCUGGAAGGUUAAUUGAUGGGGUUAGCGUAAGCGAAGCUCUUGAUCGAAGCCCCAGUAAACGGCGGCCGUAACUAUAACGGUCCUAAGGUAGCGAAAUUCCUUGUCGGGUAAGUUCCGACCUGCACGAAUGGCAUAAUGAUGGCGGCGCUGUCUCCAGCAGAGGCUCAGUGAAAUCGAAAUCGCUGUGAAGAUGCAGUGUACCCGCGGCUAGACGGAAAGACCCCGUGAACCUUUACUGCAGCUUGACACUGAACUUUGACCUUACUUGUGUAGGAUAGGUGGGAGGCUUUGAAGCUGGAACGCUAGUUCCAGUGGAGCCGUCCUUGAAAUACCACCCUGGUAAUGUUGAGGUUCUAACUCUGUCCCGUGAUCCGGGACGAGGACCGUGUCUGGUGGGUAGUUUGACUGGGGCGGUCUCCUCCUAAAGAGUAACGGAGGAGUACGAAGGUGCGCUCAGCGUGGUCGGAAAUCACGCGUAGAGUAUAAAGGCAAAAGCGCGCUUAACUGCGAGACCCACAAGUCGAGCAGGUACGAAAGUAGGUCUUAGUGAUCCGGUGGUUCUGUAUGGAAGGGCCAUCGCUCAACGGAUAAAAGGUACUCUGGGGAUAACAGGCUGAUACCGCCCAAGAGUUCAUAUCGACGGCGGUGUUUGGCACCUCGAUGUCGGCUCAUCUCAUCCUGGGGCUGAAGCAGGUCCCAAGGGUAUGGCUGUUCGCCAUUUAAAGAGGUACGCGAGCUGGGUUUAGAACGUCGUGAGACAGUUCGGUCCCUAUCUACCGUGGGCGCUGGAAAUUUGAGAGGAUCUGCUCCUAGUACGAGAGGACCAGAGUGGACGAACCUCUGGUGUACCGGUUGUGACGCCAGUCGCAUCGCCGGGUAGCUAUGUUCGGAAGGGAUAACCGCUGAAAGCAUCUAAGCGGGAAGCCUACCUCAAGAUAAGAUUUCCCUAGGACUUUAUGUCCUCUAAAGAGCCGUUCGAGACUAGGACGUUGAUAGGUUGGAUGUGGAAGCAUAGUGAUAUGUGAAGCUGACCAAUACUAAUUGCUCGUGAGGCUUGACU
RNAcentral lists this ribosomal RNA (1707 nucleotides) under Acinetobacter baumannii AB5711. Its description in RNAcentral is "bacterial LSU rRNA". It matches the Rfam family "Bacterial large subunit ribosomal RNA", at positions 1248 to 2925 of the family's 2925-position model. The record is from RNAcentral. Lineage: Bacteria; Pseudomonadati; Pseudomonadota; Gammaproteobacteria; Moraxellales; Moraxellaceae.